RNAcentral lists this ribosomal RNA (1875 nucleotides) under Triticum aestivum (bread wheat). Its description in RNAcentral is "partial small subunit ribosomal RNA". The record is from RNAcentral. Lineage: Eukaryota; Viridiplantae; Streptophyta; Magnoliopsida; Poales; Poaceae.
AUGGUCGACGCCCCGCUGGGUUCCGGCGGCCUGGCCGUCGACCCGCCCGCAAAGGUGAAGAAGAAGGCGGCAAGGAAGCCGCGGUCGGAGUGCACGCCGGAGGAGAUCACCAAGUUGGACGCGGAAUCGGCGAAGAGGAGGGAACGGAGAGCGGUCGUCAAGGUCAAUGCCGCCGCGGCCAAGUUCGCCGCCCAGCGCGAGGAGCUAGAGGCCGCGCGGCGCAAGGCCGCUGCCAACGAGAAGGAGGACCUCGUCAACAAAGCGCACGCCAUCCUCAUGCUUGGCAUGGGCCGUCCUGUCGGGUUCCCUGCAGCGACCGUCGGCCCGACAAGCACAAGCUCGUCGGUCGCCCGACCUACGCACUACCAGUCGCCGACGUCGCGCACCGCGCCCAUGUCGCCCUACUUCCCUCCGCCAAGGCACGACGGCCAGACCUGUUUCUCGAGGUUGUUGGAUGUGGGCGCGUUCGCGCCGUCCACACCGCGCCCCGCGGCCGUCAUCGACCUCAACGUCACGCCUGGGUCCAGUAGCGGCGGGCGGCCGCCCGUCGAGAUGCUAAGAAAGCAGGCACGGGCAUCGUUCACGGGCACCAUGCCGGCCCCCCGCGUCUUGUUUGAUGAAAUGCCAACCCCAACGCCAGCGGUCGACGACCCCUUCUACAACCGCUACAUGGAGGACGUGAUCUUCGACGGUGGGCAUGGUCGUGCCUACGACCCCGAUGAGACCCAAAGUCAGGAUGGCCGCACCGAGUACGUCCCCGAUGAAGGUGGGCACGACCGUGCUGACUACGACCAUGGUGACUCGUGGCAUGAGGACGAUGACAUCUAUGUCGAAGGUGAUGAUGAAGAAGAAGAAAGCAAUGACGUUGAUAUUAGUGGUGCGCCAUUGUUCAUCGACGAGCUCACCCAAAGAGCGGAGGCACAAAAGAAGAGGAAGAGCAUUCACACGGGUUCAUAUACACAAGAUGAGGACAAGUUGAUUUGCCAAGCUUGGAUGGAGAUUAUCCAAGAUCCGAGGACCGGGGCGCAACAAAAGGGCAUUGUUUUUUGGACGAGAGUCCACAAAACAUUCCAUGAAAGGAAGAUGUUUGAGCCCUUUCAAAUUACAAGCAACCGUGGCAUCGGUUCGAUUCAAAAAAGAUGGUUGUUCAUCCAACAAGAGUGCAACAAGUAUUGCGCCGCAUUUGAGAGCGUUGAAGCACGGCCCGUGAGUGGUCUCGGUGUUGGGGACAUGGCUUUCCAAUCUUUGGAGGCAUUCAAGGCCCGGCACAAUGACAAGCCAUUCACUCUUACGCAUUGUUGGACGCUCAUCAACAUGUGCCCUAAGUUCAAGGACCAAUACCGUGAACUACAAAGGAAGAGAGGACUGAAGACGGCCAAGUUCGCCGGAGGUGGAGAUGGCGAGGCGUUGAAGAGGCCGAGGGGCAAGACCAACUCCAAGGUGGACGACAUACGUGACGCCUUAUCCAUGGCCUUGCAUGAGACUUUGCAUGGCAUGAUGUCUCAAAAGGAUGUGAGGGACGAGAAGAAGCGGCAAAGCAAAGACGAGCAAAUGAAGCAAUACCUAGACCUUCAAAGACAGAAGCUUGAGAUGGAGGAGGCGGCCAAGAGGAGGAAGAUCGACAUGGGGGAGGCGGCCCGGCAAAGGCAGCUCGACAUGGAGGAGGCGGCCCGGCAAAGGCAGCUCGACAUCGAGGCCGACAACGUCAAGGCCAGGCAGAGGCAGCUCGACAUCAAGGCCACCAAUACCGCCACCAAAGCGAAGGAGGUGGCCCUUGCGAUCAUGAGCGUGGACUUGUCGAAGAUGAGCGACAAGACGAGGGCCUGGUUCGAGGCCAGGCAGAAGGAGAUGCUCGACGCCGAAGUCCUGAACUAG